Anopheles dirus is the source of this 165-nucleotide non-coding RNA. The record is from Rfam. NCBI's taxonomy places the organism in Eukaryota, Metazoa, Arthropoda, Insecta, Diptera, Culicidae.
ACAUACGUCGUGCUCGUACGAGCAGAAGCCUUCACCGAUGGUGAUACCAACACGGAUAAACCUUGAAGGAGAGGGCAAGACGCGGGGAGGUUUUAGUGAGUAAGAAUCUCACACUACCCAGAGUUAAUCGCCUGGGUGUCUAUGAAGAUUUCCUCCUCGACAAAA